UAAUUUAUAAAGGAGAAAUAAAAGUAGGAUUAAAAGAAAUAAAACAACGCUUCGCAUCUGUUCAAGUUAAUUUUUUUAUUCCAAAUUAACUGAGAGAUGUUUUGACAGAUGGAGUUGGAAUCAAAAAGUCCGAAUGACUCCGAAUCGAAUGGAAGCAUUCAGAUUCGAACAUGUUUAAGUGGUGGGGAUAUGAGCUACUUUUGGGGGAUACACACAAUAAAACAAUAUUUGUAGGCAAUGCUAUCCGCAACGGGGGGUUACGUUAAGGGACGGCUCCUACUAAAUCGAGGUGCCUCUAUACCAACGGAGUUCAUGUACGUUACCUGAACAAAGGAAUAGUGGUGGUUUUGGUACGUUUAGGUAGCGGUAGGAAUGCGAACCAGAAGUACUAGGCAUAGUUGCAAACAGAUAGUCGGAGUGUCUAAAUCAAGCCGUUGAGAGUAAAGUUGUUCUGUACCGGCUGAAAAUUCGAAGAAACUUUCGUAAAAAGUUAAGAAACAAAAAUCAAAAUUGUGUGGGUUCGGGUCGAAGAGGCAGGACGACGACGACGACAGCGUCGCCCGGAUGAAGAAGCAACAUAAAGGGCACAAAACAAACGUUGAGUCAGGUGCACGAGAAGCUGUAACAAAAAAAUGAAGUGAUGAGUACCUA
This is a long non-coding RNA of Episyrphus balteatus (marmalade hoverfly), 651 nucleotides long. RefSeq lists it as uncharacterized. The record is from RefSeq and is a predicted model, not a curated record. NCBI's taxonomy places the organism in Eukaryota, Metazoa, Arthropoda, Insecta, Diptera, Syrphidae. The transcript has 3 exons.